UCAUUUGUCUUGGAUGAUUUUGGAGAGAAUUUCAAGGGGGAUUUUAUCAAGCAUCAAAGGUGAGUUAUUUCUACUUAUUUUCAAGUUAAAUACAAGAUUAUAUGUGAAUUAGAACAUGAAAAUUAGUAGAAAAGUGGGGUUUUAGGGCUUGUGCUUUUGAGAUUUUCUAGGGUCAAUUUGAAGGGUCAAACGAGCUCCGAUUUUUGUGUUCUUUAUAUGUACGGACUCGUGAGAGGACGAAGAACAUCUUGGUAUAAAAAUUUCUGAGUUUUGAGACAUGGGCCCGGGACUCGGGUUUUGUCAAAUUCGUGAAUUUUGAUAUUUUUCGAUUGCUUUCGAUUGAGUAUUGUCCCUUUAGCAUAAUGCGACAUAUUCGUUGUGAUUUUGGGCAGAUUCGAUGCACAUGGAGGCCAAUUCGAGGGGCAAAGGCAUCGCGAGCUAAAGAAGUAGCCGGUUUGAGGUGAGUAAUUUAUGUAAAUGAUGUCCUGAGAGUUUGAAACCCCGGAAUUUCACAUUGUAACGCUAUAUUGAGGUGAGUUGCACGCCGG
Molecule: long non-coding RNA, 548 nt
Filed under: Nicotiana tabacum (common tobacco)
Lineage: Eukaryota; Viridiplantae; Streptophyta; Magnoliopsida; Solanales; Solanaceae
Description: long non-coding RNA (NTAB_LNC011348)
Source: RNAcentral